This 266-nucleotide long non-coding RNA is filed under the name Prunus dulcis (almond). Its description in RNAcentral is "sRNA ncRNA". The record is from RNAcentral. Lineage: Eukaryota; Viridiplantae; Streptophyta; Magnoliopsida; Rosales; Rosaceae.
AUGUUUUAUAAAAAGAUUGCCACAAAAGCCUUUGCGGACAUUCAAAUAGGACAUUCUGAUUUUUUGAUAAAAGACAACAUAAAUUUAUUAGAUCAAAUGGAGAAACGAGUACAAAGGACAAAGAUUGUGAAGGGAGUCAUCCCAUUAGCAAUACGACCAGUUUAGUCGGUUCGGCCGGAUUAAUGCCUACCUAUUGUUUGGUUUCAUUCAACACCAAAACUAGCAAACUCAUCCAAGACAUUCAUUCAUAUAACACCAAAACUUAA